AUUGAACGCUGGCGGCAGGCCUAACACAUGCAAGUCGAGCGAGCGGCGGACGGGUGAGUAAUGGCUGGGAACCUGCCUGAUGGAGGGGGAUAACUACUGGAUACGGUAGCUAAUACCGCAUACCAUCAGAUGUGCCCAGAUGGGAUUAGCUAGUAGGUGGGGUAACGUCUCACCUAGGCGACGCUCCCUAGCUGGUCUGAGAGGAUGACCAGCCACACUGGAACGGUGACACGGUCCAGACUCCUACGGGAGGCAGCAGUGGGGAAUAUUGCACAAUGGGCGCAAGCCUGAUGCAGCCAUGCCGCGUGUGUGAAGAAGGCCUUCGGAUUGUAAAGCACUUUCAGCGGGGAGGCGUUACCCACAGAAGAAGCACCGGCUAACUCCGUGCCAGCAGCCGCGGUAAUUC
RNAcentral lists this ribosomal RNA (406 nucleotides) under uncultured bacterium. RNAcentral describes it as "partial 16S ribosomal RNA". It matches the Rfam family "Bacterial small subunit ribosomal RNA", at positions 30 to 526 of the family's 1533-position model. The record is from RNAcentral.